UCUCACAAAUAAUUAACUUCUCCAGCAAACAUAUGAACAACUCUAUCUAAAUAGAGGCCCUUAUGCUAAAACUAUUAAUACGAGCAACAACUCUACCUGCGCAUUCAUCACUCAAGUAGUACUGACAAUUAACAGACCUAAAAAGGGUGAGUACAACCUAAUUAACAAGUCCUUUAAAACCUGUGAGUCCAACCCAGGUGCGCUAGGUAAUAAAUUAAAAGUUACAAAAGGAACUCGGCAAACAUAGAUUCCAACUGUUUACCAAAAACAUAGCCUUUAGCUAAACAAGUAUUGAAGGUAAUGCCUGCCCAGUGAAGUCACUUUCAACGGCCGCGGUACCCUAACCGUGCAAAGGUAGCGUAAUCA
This 366-nucleotide ribosomal RNA is filed under the name Typhlops proancylops (La Selle blindsnake). RNAcentral's name for it is "partial 16S ribosomal RNA". The stretch from base 252 to 366 matches the Rfam family "Bacterial large subunit ribosomal RNA", at positions 1797 to 1967 of the family's 2925-position model. The record is from RNAcentral. Lineage: Eukaryota; Metazoa; Chordata; Lepidosauria; Squamata; Typhlopidae.